This 301-nucleotide ribosomal RNA is filed under the name uncultured bacterium. RNAcentral's name for it is "partial 16S ribosomal RNA". It matches the Rfam family "Bacterial small subunit ribosomal RNA", at positions 509 to 807 of the family's 1533-position model. The record is from RNAcentral.
CAGUCGCCACGGUAAUACAGAGGGUGCAAGCGUUAAUCGGAAUUACUGGGCGUAAAGCGCGCGUAGGUGGUUCGCCAAGUUGGAUGUGAAAUCCCCGGGCUCAACCUGGGAACUGCAUCCAAAACUGGCGAGCUAGAGUAUGGUAGAGGGUGGUGGAAUUUCCUGUGUAGCGGUGAAAUGCGUAGAUAUAGGAAGGAACAUCAGUGGCGAAGGCGACCACCUGGACUGAUACUGACACUGAGGUGCGAAAGCGUGGGGAGCAAACAGGAUUAGAUACCCCUGUAGUCCCUGUCUCUUAUAC